UGCGGAGGGGGCUAGCGUUGUUCGGAAUUACUGGGCGUAAAGCGCGCGUAGGCGGCUUUGUAAGUUAGAGGUGAAAGCCCGGAGCUUAACUCCGGAACUGCCUUUAAGACUGCAUCGCUAGAAUCGUGGAGAGGUGAGUGGAAUUCCGAGUGUAGAGGUGAAAUUCGUAGAUAUUCGGAAGAACACCAGUGGCGAAAGCAGCUCUCUGGGACGGUACUGACGCUGAGACGCGAAAGCGUGGGGAGCGAACAGG
RNAcentral lists this ribosomal RNA (253 nucleotides) under uncultured bacterium. RNAcentral's name for it is "partial 16S ribosomal RNA". It matches the Rfam family "Bacterial small subunit ribosomal RNA", at positions 524 to 776 of the family's 1533-position model. The record is from RNAcentral.